GUCUUGGUAGCUCAGAUGGUUGAGCACUGGGCUAGUGACCCAGUAGUCGUGAGUUCAACUCUCACCGAAAACA
Molecule: non-coding RNA, 73 nt
Organism: Cydia pomonella (codling moth)
Lineage: Eukaryota; Metazoa; Arthropoda; Insecta; Lepidoptera; Tortricidae
Source: the annotation of a RefSeq genome assembly